UCCUUUUUCCCAAAGGAAAAAGCUUUUCUUUUCAAGCAGUUGGCGUAGCGGCAGAAGAGGUAGGUCCUUGUUUGGCUUGCAUUACUAGGUUCAGAUCUAAAGCGGGCGGCAGUAUUUUCUUGUAUGAGAUUUCUGGGCAUAUCUAGGAAAGGGCCUUUUUUUUAUCAUCGCAUCAGUGGAGCAGAAGAGGUAGGUCCUAAGAUUUCAUUUCACUAACAGAUCUACCACUCGAUGGGAUUGGCUAACCUUGGCUUGAGACCAUUUGCGGCAGUAUUUUGGGUAGUCGGAUUUCUUGCGUAUUUGAUUUCAUCUCCAACAGAUCUGAGGAUGACUACUGGCAAAGGCUUUGGUUUCAAUAUCCUGCCUCACUCAUCAAUUUCUA
RNAcentral lists this long non-coding RNA (382 nucleotides) under Selaginella moellendorffii. Its description in RNAcentral is "long non-coding RNA (SMOE_LNC000554)". The record is from RNAcentral. Lineage: Eukaryota; Viridiplantae; Streptophyta; Lycopodiopsida; Selaginellales; Selaginellaceae.